AUUGGGUAUGUGUGUGUUUGAAUACUCAUGACAUGAGAAUCCCGGAGAGUCUGAGAGCGCUAUGGGAACUUAUCUGAACGAUUCAAACUCUCAUCGCUGCAAACAACGAAAAUUUGACUCGGAUUUUCCUGAAUGAAAAACACUAAAAAAAUUUAUGUAAUGGACCAAUUUAUUAAAAGAAUUCGCGCCACUUAAUUUUCUGGGCAAUGGACCCUGGGCCCAGGCCCGACACUUCAUCCCUAAGGGAAAUAGGAUUUCGUUUCCUCUUUUUUGGGGGAAAGUCAUAUAUGUAACAGUA
RNAcentral lists this long non-coding RNA (298 nucleotides) under Prunus dulcis (almond). RNAcentral describes it as "sRNA ncRNA". The record is from RNAcentral. Lineage: Eukaryota; Viridiplantae; Streptophyta; Magnoliopsida; Rosales; Rosaceae.